ACUAAAUAAUCUUGUAGCUCAACACCCCCCCUCUCAAGUUGGAGGGGGAUACCACCUUCAAAUUGGACAACAAGGGAUGCAGAAUGGUGCCAGGGAGUGGUUUGGUGAGAAGAUCAGCCAGCUGACGAGAAGUGGAUACAUGCGACAGUGUAAUAAGCCCAGCAGCCAACAAAUCACACACAAAAUGACAAUCUACUUCGAUAUGUUUUGUCCGCUCAUGAAAAACAGGGUUUUUGGCAAUAUGUAUAGCAGCCUGAUUGUCACAGAAAACAGAAAAAGGGAGAGAAACAGAAAUAUGGACAUGCGACAGUGUAAUAAGCCCAGCAGCCAACAAAUCACCACAAUCUACUUCGAUAUGUUUGGUCCGCUCAUAAAAAACAGGAUUUUUGGCAAUAUGUGUAGCAGCCUGAUUGUCACAUAAAACAGAAAAAGGGAGAGAAACACAAAUACCAAGGUCAGUUAGCAAUCGGGAAAGCCAAGACAGUUUAGCAACUACCUUACUGAGAGCCAUAUACUCAGCUUCAGCAGAAGAUAAAGAGACAACAGGUUGUUUCUUAGACUUCCAACUAAUCAAGCGGCCACCCAAAAGAAUACAAAACCCAGUCACAGACCUGUGAGUAUCUGGACAGGCAGCCCAAUCACUGUCAGAAUAAGCAUGGACAAACAAAUCAGAACUGUCAGAAUAGAAUAAACCCAAAUGCAUAGACCCUUUAAGAUAUCUUAGAACAUGUAUAGCAGUAGUCAUAUGUGGGACUCUGGGACACUUCAAGUAUUGACUCAGAUGCUGAACAGCAAAGCAGAUGUCAGGCCUGGUGUGAGUCAGAAAUAAGAGCUUACCAACAAUGCUUCUAUAUUGUUCAGGAGAGGAAAGAAUGUCACCAGAAUCAGCAUGGAGUUUCACAUUAAGAUCCAAAGGACAAACAACAGAAGUCCUAUAUUGAUCAGGAGAGGAAAGAAUGUCACCAGAAUCAGCAUGGAGUUUCACAUUAAGAUCCAAAAGACAAACAACAGGAGAAACAUUCAUACAGUCAAACUGAUGCAACAGUUCAGAAAUGUAUUUAUGCUGAUUAAGGAGCAUCCCACCAGUAACUACAGACAUCUCAAUGCCCAGAAAAUAAUGCAAAGACCCAAGGUCUUUGAUCCUGAACUGAUCAUCCAGAAACAGCUUCAUGGCAGAUAACUCAUCAUUGUCAUCCCCAGUGAUGAUAAUGUCAUCCACAUAAACUGCUACAAUAACCAGACAGCCAGGCUGGCCUUUGAGAAACAGAGAAUAAUCAUUCAUGGAAUAACUAUAGCCUCUGGAAUAAAGGGCAGAGGACAACUUGGCAUACCAUUGUCUGGAUGCUUGCCUCAACCCAUAUAGUGAUUUUUUCAAUUUACAUACAAGAGGAGGAGAUGGAGAAGAAACAGAGUUAGAAGAAGAUACAGAAACAGAUAAACCUGGAGGAAGCUUCAUAUAAACCUCCUCAUCCAAAUCACCAUGCAAGAAAGCAUUGUUAACAUCAAGUUGGAAANNNN
This 1518-nucleotide long non-coding RNA is filed under the name Nicotiana benthamiana. Its description in RNAcentral is "long non-coding RNA (NBEN_LNC018082)". Lineage: Eukaryota; Viridiplantae; Streptophyta; Magnoliopsida; Solanales; Solanaceae. The record is from RNAcentral.